RNAcentral lists this long non-coding RNA (497 nucleotides) under Pongo abelii (Sumatran orangutan). Its description in RNAcentral is "lincRNA". The stretch from base 48 to 143 matches the Rfam family "Maternally expressed 8 exon 1". Lineage: Eukaryota; Metazoa; Chordata; Mammalia; Primates; Hominidae. The record is from RNAcentral.
GGUCUGAAAAAUGAUAUUCUUUGUCCUAAUGUGUAAAUUUUGACAAUUUGCAAAUUUGUAGGUUCUUUAGAAUGGAACUAACUCAAGCCCUUCAUUCUGCAGCUGAGGCUCACUGCCCCCAGUGGGCAGUGGGUCCAGGGGUUUCUGAGGCCAGGGCAUGGCCCAGCCCUGCUGCCCCCAAGAUGGCACCUGGCUUGGAGGGGUGAGGGGCCCUGUUAGUCUGACUUUGAAGAAGACCAGCCUUCCAGACUCGCUUGGUGCCCUGACAGGAGCCCUGGGCUCCCUCAAUGUUGCCUAGAUCUGACUUUGCCUCAGUGAAAACCACCUCAAAUUCUUUCUUGCACUGAUGGGCAGAUGGGCAGUGUCAGAGGAUCGUGUCAUCUGUCCUGUGGUGCUGGUUGGCUUGGUCAAGUCAGUGUUCAAACUAUCUCCUGCUCUUUCAAGGGGAUCUGGGGCUCUAGAAGAUUAGAGGACUUUGAGAGGUUAGUGACUUGCCC